CCAUGAGCGCUCCUAUGCCCCCUCCAAUGGAGCCGGACCCGCGGUGGCGGAGACGAGGGAGGCGCCCAACUCGUCUGGACUGGAGUGCGUUCCUGAGCGUUUCUUGGUUUCCUCUUGCGCAGUUCAACUCGUUGUGCGCGGGAGAGGCGAUGCAUAGGAAGGAACGGGUAUGAUCUUACUGCUCGCUCGCUCUCUUGUGAUUUGUUGCCAAAUCUUUCUGGUGUGAUAGCAUGCUUUGCACUUGAUAGGAGGCGUUUCUUGAUUUGUCUAUUUGGUGUGAUUGCAUGCUUUGCACUUUUGCUGCGAGUAAAAAAUGUGGGGAUCAUGUCUUGGCAGUGCUUGCUGUCAUAUUUUGGCAAGAAGAAAUCUUGAUGCCAAAAUGUAUCAGUUUCCAUUGUAGAUGAAUGUCGUUACAGUAGUUUCCAAUCUGGAUGGCACUUGGCACUCACUACUAGCUCACAUUUGGCUUAAGUUAAAGCAAUAGGUUGGCCUCUCAUUUGAGGUUAGUACAGUAGCAGAGAUACUUCUAAUCUACUUGUUAGACAUUGCAAUGGGAUCUGCAGUAGUUCUGUUUGUUUAUGAUUAUUCAGCUUUGUUCAACACAUGAUUUACACAUUGAAAAAACUGGUUACUCCUGUAGCAUUUGAACUCAGAUUUCCAUACACUACUGUUUGUGCAUUUGAGGAACUUGGCUCCAGAGUGUGUCAUGACCGAGGUACUGUUAGAUAGAGCAUCUGUUAGUGGUCUUUCACUUGCGUGUCAGAUAGUGUACAAAUUAAUUGCUGUUUUGAGUUGGCGGUCAAAUCAGCACUUUGUUAUCAUACUAAAUCGCAUGGGUUUUAUUGUAUCAUCUGGGUAGUCGCAAGCGAGGACUAGUUGUUCAGACUUAGGGGGGUAUGUUCUUCUGAUUUCUGAUGCUGAUGGGACUUCUGCCCGUAGCAUUUGUCAGUUUAGUUGGACUGAAUUAGUGAUACAUAGCAUUUGCAACAUAUAUUACUAAAAAAUAAUUAUUAUAAAUACAUGUGGAAAAAUGUGCGUACAAGACUAGCUAAUUGUGUCUGCUUACUGUCUGGACGCAUACUUUGGUACGACGUACGUGUACUGCAGAGUACCUUAACCAGUGAGAGUACCUUACUAUAUCAUGUCCAAUAAUAAUUACUAUAGUAUUUGAUGCUGCCUUCUUUUUUGAGUUAUUCAAGUAUGGGUCAUUCAACUACAUUUUUUUGCCUACAUACCGGUAUAUCUUACUUUAGAUUAAUCAUUUCAGCUUCACACAAUUAAUUAAGGCCAAAAGGGGUCAAUUUUAGGACUCUUCAUAAUUCAGCUGUCUUUUUUUUGUAUUGUUAUUGUUCAGUCCAUCUUUAUAGGUUACAUCAGUGGUAGUUGGUUUAAUUGACUAGACUCAAACUUCUCUCAUCUGAGUUUAGAAACAUUUGUCGCUUCAAGGUUUCCGCCAUGGAUUGCUUGUUUUUGUGCCUUGUUUCUAUUCUUGAUCUGUAUUUUGUAGCUCUUACAAAUAUGGUUGUUUCUUCUACAGGACCUCCAGGCCUAAGAAAAUUGAAGUGCGAAGCCUUGAAGCCAAUUGUGU
RNAcentral lists this long non-coding RNA (1588 nucleotides) under Hordeum vulgare. RNAcentral's name for it is "long non-coding RNA (HVUL_LNC000337)". The record is from RNAcentral. Lineage: Eukaryota; Viridiplantae; Streptophyta; Magnoliopsida; Poales; Poaceae.